AAAAAAGGUAAGCUACUAAGAGCGAAUGGUGGAUGCCUUGACUGGUAAAGGCGAUGAAGGACGUACUAGACUGCGAUAAGCUACGGGGAGCUGUCAAGAAGCUUUGAUCCGUAGAUUUCCGAAUGGGGCAACCCAAUGUAUAGAGAUAUACAUUACCUAUAUAGGAGCGAACGAGGGGAAUUGAAACAUCUUAGUACCCUCAGGAAAAGAAAUCAAUAGAGAUUGCGUCAGUAGCGGCGAGCGAAAGCGCAAG
This 253-nucleotide ribosomal RNA is filed under the name Campylobacter coli. Its description in RNAcentral is "partial 23S ribosomal RNA". It matches the Rfam family "Bacterial large subunit ribosomal RNA", at positions 1 to 265 of the family's 2925-position model. Lineage: Bacteria; Pseudomonadati; Campylobacterota; Epsilonproteobacteria; Campylobacterales; Campylobacteraceae. The record is from RNAcentral.